This 253-nucleotide ribosomal RNA is filed under the name uncultured bacterium. RNAcentral's name for it is "partial 16S ribosomal RNA". It matches the Rfam family "Bacterial small subunit ribosomal RNA", at positions 524 to 776 of the family's 1533-position model. The record is from RNAcentral.
UACGAAGGGGGCUAGCGUUGUUCGGAAUUACUGGGCGUAAAGCGUGCGCAGGCGGCUUCCCAAGUCAGUGGUGAAAGCCCGGAGCUCAACUCCGGAACUGCCAUUGAAACUGUGAAGCUCGAGGACGAGAGAGGUGAGUGGAAUUCCCAGUGUAGAGGUGAAAUUCGUAGAUAUUGGGAAGAACACCGGUGGCGAAGGCGGCUCACUGGCUCGUUUCUGACGCUCAUGCACGACGGCGUGGGGAUCAAACAGG